UCUUGACUAGUAUAUCGGUUUAGUACAGCCGCUUGUCAAUUUGCGUCAAUCGCGGCAGAGCUGGGUUCGACUCCCAGGUCGAGAG
Non-coding RNA from Mycena filopes, 85 nucleotides. NCBI's taxonomy places the organism in Eukaryota, Fungi, Basidiomycota, Agaricomycetes, Agaricales, Mycenaceae. The record is from the annotation of a GenBank genome assembly.